This 382-nucleotide ribosomal RNA is filed under the name uncultured eukaryote. RNAcentral's name for it is "partial 18S ribosomal RNA". It matches the Rfam family "Eukaryotic small subunit ribosomal RNA", at positions 592 to 976 of the family's 1831-position model. The record is from RNAcentral.
UGUAAGCGUAUACCAAAGUUGUUGCAGUUAAAACGCUCGUAGUCGGAAUUUGGCAGUUCCGGAUGUGUGCACGUCGUGUGCGCACUUCGCGGGGAUUGCUUUUGUGGUCUUGCGUAGGAUGAGGCACUUUUAUUAGUGAACGUCCUCACGCAACCACUUUUUACUGUGAGAAAAUCAGAGUGCUCCAAGCAGGCAUUUGCCGUGAAUGUAUUAGCAUGGAAUAAUAGAAUAGGACUUGGUUCUAUUUUGUUGGUUUGUUGGGACUGAGUAAUGAUUAAGAGGGACAGUUGGGGGCAUUUGUAUUUCGGUGCUAGAGGUGAAAUUCUUAGAUUACCGAAAGACAAACUGCUGCGAAAGCGUCUGCCAAGGAUGUUUUCAUUGA